Molecule: ribosomal RNA, 1262 nt
Filed under: Nocardiopsis sp. HL98
Lineage: Bacteria; Bacillati; Actinomycetota; Actinomycetes; Streptosporangiales; Nocardiopsidaceae
Description: bacterial SSU rRNA
Rfam family: Bacterial small subunit ribosomal RNA
Source: RNAcentral
GCCGAAAUGGCCGGCUGCUACCAUGCAGUCGAGCGGUAAGGCCCUUCGGGGUACACGAGCGGCGAACGGGUGAGUAACACGUGAGCAACCUGCCCCUGACUCCGGGAUAAGCGGUGGAAACGCCGUCUAAUACCGGAUACGACCUGUCACCUCAUGGUGGCGGGUGGAAAGUUUUUCGGUCGGGGAUGGGCUCGCGGCCUAUCAGCUAGUUGGUGGGGUAAAGGCCUACCAAGGCGAUUACGGGUAGCCGGCCUGAGAGGGCGACCGGCCACACUGGGACUGAGACACGGCCCAGACUCCUGCGGGAGGCAGCAGUGGGGAAUAUUGCGCAAUGGGCGAAAGCCUGACGCAGCGACGCCGCGUGGGGGAUGACGGCCUUCGGGUUGUAAACCUCUUUUACCACCAACGCAGGCUCCCAGUUCUCUGGGGGUUGACGGUAGGUGGGGAAUAAGGACCGGCUAACUACGUGCCAGCAGCCGCGGUAAUACGUAGGGUCCGAGCGUUGUCCGGAAUUAUUGGGCGUAAAGAGCUCGUAGGCGGCGUGUCGCGUCUGCUGUGAAAGACCGGGGCUUAACUCCGGUUCUGCAGUGGAUACGGGCAUGCUAGAGGUAGGUAGGGGAGACUGGAAUUCCUGGUGUAGCGGUGAAAUGCGCAGAUAUCAGGAGGAACACCGGUGGCGAAGGCGGGUCUCUGGGCCUUACCUGACGCUGAGGAGCGAAAGCAUGGGGAGCGAACAGGAUUAGAUACCCUGGUAGUCCAUGCCGUAAACGUUGGGCGCUAGGUGUGGGGACUUUCCACGGUUUCCGCGCCGUAGCUAACGCAUUAAGCGCCCCGCCUGGGGAGUACGGCCGCAAGCUAAAACUCAAGGAAUUGACGGGGCCCGCACAAGCGGCGGAGCAUGUUGCUUAAUUCGACGCAACGCGAAGAACCUUACCAAGGUUUGACAUCACCCCGUGGACCUGCAGAGAUGUGGGGGUCAUUUAGUUGGGUGGGUGACAGGUGUGCAUGGCUGUCGUCAGCUCGUGUCGUGAGAUGUUGGGUAAGUCCCGCAACGAGCGCAACCCUUAUUCCAUUGUUGCAGCACGUAGUGGUUGGGGACUCAUGGAGACUGCUGGUUCAACUCGGAGGAGGUGGGAACGACGUCAGUUCAUCUGCCCUUAUGUCUUGGCUGCAAACAUGCUACAUGCCGUACAAAUGGCGUUGCAAAUCCGUAAGGGUGAGCGAUCCUUAAAAGCCGGCGUCUUCAUCUCGGAAUAUGUGCG